AUGUCAUAGUGAGGGAAUUCCCUUAACAGCUCUUUAAACCUCUUUCAUGCAUCAGGAACAACUUCAUUGUCCAUUUGUUAAAAAAAACAAAUUUCAUUUCUAGACUU
Molecule: small nucleolar RNA, 107 nt
Organism: Cynara cardunculus var. scolymus (artichoke)
Lineage: Eukaryota; Viridiplantae; Streptophyta; Magnoliopsida; Asterales; Asteraceae
Source: RefSeq, a predicted model, not a curated record